RNAcentral lists this ribosomal RNA (325 nucleotides) under uncultured eukaryote. Its description in RNAcentral is "partial 18S ribosomal RNA". It matches the Rfam family "Eukaryotic small subunit ribosomal RNA", at positions 1470 to 1796 of the family's 1831-position model. The record is from RNAcentral.
CCCUUAGAUGUCCUGGGCCGCACGCGCGUUACACUGAUGCAUUCAACAAGUUCUACCUUGGCCGAGAGGCCUGGGAAAUCUUUCAAAUAUGUAUCGUGAUAGGGAUAGAUUAUUGCAAUUAUUAAUCUUGAACGAGGAAUUCCUAGUAAAUGCAGAUCAUCAUUCUGCGUUGAUUACGUCCCUGCCCUUUGUACACACCGCCCGUCGCACCUACCGAUUGAAUGAUCCGGUGAAGCCUCGGGAUUGUGCCCAGAGAACUUUAUUGUGAUUUGGGUGUGAGAACUUGUCUAAACCUUAUCAUUUAGAGGAAGGUGAAGUCGUAACA